This 73-nucleotide transfer RNA is filed under the name Ixodes scapularis (black-legged tick). Its description in RNAcentral is "tRNA-Pro for anticodon GGG". It matches the Rfam family "tRNA". From Rfam's summary of the family: Transfer RNA (tRNA) molecules are approximately 80 nucleotides in length. Their secondary structure includes four short double-helical elements and three loops (D, anti-codon, and T loops). The record is from RNAcentral. Lineage: Eukaryota; Metazoa; Arthropoda; Arachnida; Ixodida; Ixodidae.
UCCCGGUGAGCUUAGUUGGUAGGGCGCUCCACUGGGAAUGGUAAGGUCCCUGGUUCGAUACCGGGAUCAGGUG